UGGUAGUCCACGCCGUAAACGAUGUCAACUAGUUGUUCGUGUCUUUGAGACGUGAGUAACGCAGCUAACGCACUAAGUUGACCGCCUGGGGAGUACGGCCGCAAGGUUAAAACUCAAAUGAAUUGACGGGGGCCCGCACAAGCGGUGGAGCAUGUGGUUUAAUUCGAUGCAACGCGAAGAACCUUACCAUCCCUUGACAUCCAGAGAAUUUUCUAGAGAUAGAUUAGUGCCUUCGGGAACUCUGAGACAGGUGCUGCAUGGCUGUCGUCAGCUCGUGUUGUGAGAUGUUGGGUUAAGUCCCGCAACGAGCGCAACCCUUAUCCUUAGUUGCCAGCACUAAGGUGGGAACUCUAGGGAGACUGCCGGUGAUAAACCGGAGGAAGGUGGGGACGACGUCAAGUCAUCAUGGCCCUUACGGGAUGGGCUACACACGUGCUACAAUGGCGCACACAAAGGGCAGCAAGCGCGCGAGUGCAAGCGAAUCUCAAAAAGUGCGUCGUAGUCCGGAUUGGAGUCUGCAACUCGACUCCAUGAAGUCGGAAUCGCUAGUAAUCGUGGAUCAGAAUGCCACGGUGAAUACGUUCCCGGGCCUUGUACACACCGCCCGUCACACCAUGGGAGUGGGCUGCACCAGAAGUAGAUAGCUUAACCUUCGGGAGGGCGUUUACCACGGUGUGGUUCAUGACUGGGGUG
This 693-nucleotide ribosomal RNA is filed under the name uncultured bacterium. RNAcentral's name for it is "bacterial SSU rRNA". It matches the Rfam family "Bacterial small subunit ribosomal RNA", at positions 788 to 1482 of the family's 1533-position model. The record is from RNAcentral.